Molecule: non-coding RNA, 113 nt
Organism: Caerostris extrusa
Lineage: Eukaryota; Metazoa; Arthropoda; Arachnida; Araneae; Araneidae
Source: the annotation of a GenBank genome assembly
AACGGCCAUACCAUGCUGAAUAUACCGGUUCUCGUUAGAUCACCGAAACUCGCUGAUCAUUGGGCGCGGUCAGUACUUGGGUGGGUGACCACUUGGGAACACCGCGUGCCGUU